RNAcentral lists this ribosomal RNA (468 nucleotides) under uncultured bacterium. Its description in RNAcentral is "partial 16S ribosomal RNA". It matches the Rfam family "Bacterial small subunit ribosomal RNA", at positions 28 to 507 of the family's 1533-position model. The record is from RNAcentral.
GACGAACGCUGGCGGCGUGCUUAACACAUGCAAGUCGAACGGAAAGGCCCUGCUUUUGUGGGGUGCUCGAGUGGCGAACGGGUGAGUAACACGCGAGUAACCUGCCCUUGACUUUGGGAUAACUCCAGGAAACUGGGGCUAAUACCGCAUAGGAGCUCCUGCUGCAUGGUGGGGGUUGGAAAGUUUCGGCGGUUGGGGAUGGUCUCGCGGCUUAUCAGCUUGUUGGUGGGGUAGUGGCUUACCAAGGCUUUGACGGGUAGCCGGCCUGAGAGGGUGACCGGCCACAUUGGGCCUGAGAUACGGCCCAGACUCCUACGGGAGGCAGCAGUGGGGAAUAUUGCACAAUGGGCGGAAGCCUGAUGCAGCAACGCCGCGUGCGGGAUGACGGCCUUCGGGUUGUAAACCGCUUUCGCCUGUGACGAGGCGUGAGUGACGGUAAUGGGUAAAGAAGCACCGGCUAACUACGUG